Molecule: transfer RNA, 98 nt
Filed under: Candida dubliniensis CD36
Lineage: Eukaryota; Fungi; Ascomycota; Pichiomycetes; Serinales; Debaryomycetaceae
Description: transfer RNA-Ser (CGA)
Rfam family: tRNA
About the family: Transfer RNA (tRNA) molecules are approximately 80 nucleotides in length. Their secondary structure includes four short double-helical elements and three loops (D, anti-codon, and T loops).
Source: RNAcentral
GACAGUGUGGCCGAGCGGUUAAGGCGUCUGACUCGAAUCUUAUUCGCGUUAUCAGUUGGGCUUUGCCCGCGCAGGUUCGAAUCCUGCUGCUGUCGUCA